GAGAAUACAAAACGCUUUCUCGAUCUCAACACCGCGUCGGUACCCCUACCUCUUCGAAAAGCCAUCGAAGAAGAGCUACGUCGUUUAGAGUCGCUCUCCGUCAUACGCAAAGUAGAGAAGCCUACGCAGUGGUGUGCGCCCAUUGUUCCAGUGCUUAAGCCGAACGGCCAAGUCCGUAUAUGCGUCGACUUCGUGCAAUUAAACAAAAGUGUGCAGAGGGAACGUCAUGUUCUUCCUACAGUCGAAGAAGUGCUGGGAAAUCUCGGUGAAGCAAAGUUCUUUUCAAAAUUAGACGCAAGCUCAGGGUUUCAUCAAAUACUGUUGUCACCGGAGAGCCAGGAACUGACCAAUUUUAUGCACCCUUUGGGCGUUAUUGUUACCAGCGGCUUCCUUUUGGCAUCACUUCAGCGCCGGAGGUAUUUCAAAGAAAGAUGACCGACAUUCUGAAAGGACUUGACGGCGUGGAAAGUUUGAUGGACGACAUCUUGGUCUAACGGUAUGACGAAAGAAGAGCAUGGUGAGCGUUUGCGAAAAACUCUAAAUCGUCUUCGUCAAGUUGGAAUGACGUUAAAUCGGCAAAAGUGCGUGUUUGGAGUGAGCAAGGUUCCAUUUUUGGGUGUUAUUUUAACGGACCAUGGAAUUUGCCCAAACCCCGACAAAGUCGCCGCGAUUAAAAACUUCCCACCGCCAACUACCAUCACUGAACUUCGAAGGUUUCUUGGCAUGAUGAAUCAUGUGGCUCGGUUUCUUCCGCAGUUAUCAACCGUGUGAGCUCCCCUCAGAACGCUGUUAUCUGGCUCUACGCAGUGGAUCUGGGAUAUACCUCAGCAAAAAGCUUCCGACGCUUUGAAGAGCCUGAUAACAGCAGACACGUGUCUUGCAAAGUACAGCCCAUCACAAGCAAGACAACGGGGUAUUCGGAGCAGUUGCGUUUGCUUCAAGGUCCUUGCUGCCAGCAGAACGGCGUUACGCCCAAAUAGAAAAAGAGGCUUUAGCUUUGACAUGGGCAGCUGAAAAAUUCGAUGAGUAUUUACGAGAAUAUGUUCCUGGAAAGCUACUAGCUACUGCAGACGCACUGUCCAGAGCACCUACAACAGAUGAUGCUAAGCACGAGGGACUACUCACCAUAGCCGAAGUGCAGUCCUUCGCCAACGGUGCCAUCGUCACAUUACCCGCUUCGAGGGACCAGCUGCAAAGAAUACGAAUGGCACAAAAAUCCGACCCGGUAUGUAGAGAACUCUACAAACUAUCUGAAAACGGCUGGCCGUCGAGAGAGAAAGUGCCGUGUUUGUUGAAGCCCUACUAUGCAAACCACAUGCACAUAAGUUGUUGUCAAGGUUUGUUGUUGAUGGGAAGCAGACUGAUCAUUCCCGCACCGCUUUAAAAGGAAAUGUUAGCCAGACUUCACGAGGGACAUCAAGGGAUCGUCCGCUGUCGUGCGAGAGCCAAGGAGUCCAUUUGGUGGCCCGGACUUUCUUCACAACUCAAGGAAGUAACGACGAGCUGCCAGCAGUGCCUAAUGAACAAAACUCAGCCUCGAGAACCGUUGAUACCGUCGGUAACUCCGCAACUACCGUGGCAGAAUGUGGGAGCUGACUUGUUUCAUUUAAAUGGCAAGGACUAUUUGUUACUUGUUCAUCAUUAUUCACGGUAUCCAGAAGUAGUAGGACUUGUCGCGACAUCAUCUAAUGCUGUCAUUCAGCGCACGAAAGAAAUAUUCUCGCGUCAUGGAAUCCCGCAAUAACUUUUCACGGACAAUGGCCCACAAUUUGAGUCUGCUGAAUUCACGCAGUUUGCAGCACCACUAUGGAUUUUGUCAUACCACAAGCAGCUCAAAGUAUCCCCAGUCAAACGGCGAAGCGGAGAGGAUGGUCAAGACUAUAAAGGAUCUUCUCAAGAAGGCGUCCGACCCGUUUCUCUCUUUGCUUAGUUACCGGAACACAGCUGGGUCAACAGGCUCCAGCCCUGCGCAGCUGUUGAUGGGUAGGAGGUUGAGAAGCCGCCUUCCAGUUGUCUCAUCUCUUCUACUUCCGGAAACUGUUGCCUAUUCAAGGUGGGUUGCGAGGGACCGACAACAGAAAAGAAAGCGGAAGAGGAACUUUGAUAAGCGUCAUUCUGCACGUCCGCUCUCUUCUCUUUCUGAUGAGGACAUCGUCUGGAUUCCUGACAUGCAGAUCAAGGGCCAGGUACUUCGAAAAACAGCUGAGCCAAGAUCGUAUUCCGUGAAGACCCCUCAGGGAAUUCUUCGACGUAACAGGCGUGACCUGAUCGCCAUCGCUUCGCCCAAGUCGUCAGCCCUUUUAUCCUCUCCUACCAGCCCACAGUUCAAGGCAAACUUUCCUGUUGAAGACAACGCUGGUGGACCUGGAGAACCGACCGCUCCCGUGGCAGCAACGGAACAGCCGCCACCAACUGAACCUCCACGUCGCAUGAGGGUCUCCCGAUAUGGGCGCUGCAUCAAGACACCAAUUAGGUUUUCCAUGGAGUGAGUGCUCAGUUCUCGAACUGAACUUCGAACUCAAGUGCUUUAUUUUUCCUUGGAAUGAAAUUUCAUUUCCGCGUUUCUAUGUUUGCGUUUGACUUAUUUAAAAAAAAAAAAAGAGAGUUGUGGUGUUAUCUGCUAGAUAGCUGUGCUCAUUCUUAUCUUGGUAUAACUCGUAAACAUUACGUGGUACUUCUGAUGUUAUCCUGAUGAUGUAAAAGCCAAUAGCAGAUGAAAAUAAAGGCUUUUUGUUGGGUGGAACCCGCCAGCUCGCGGGCACGCA
Long non-coding RNA from Ornithodoros turicata, 2765 nucleotides. RefSeq lists it as uncharacterized. NCBI's taxonomy places the organism in Eukaryota, Metazoa, Arthropoda, Arachnida, Ixodida, Argasidae. The transcript has 3 exons. The record is from RefSeq and is a predicted model, not a curated record.